UUUCAGCAAUGUAAGCUUUUUUGUCCGGUGUAGACCUUCAUUUUUCUUUUUUUUUGGUCGUAGUGUAGACCUUCAAUUGACAUUUUAUCUCCCUUUUGGCAGUACUCGUUUAUCACUGUCUUGGUAGAGAUAACACAGAUGGCUUAUCGUAUUUGCACAUAAAGAAUGCGGCCUUCUUCAAUGCAUGUUUUAUGCAUGUGUUGCUAUACAAGUCACAUGCCUUGUUUGCAUGCAGGCUAAAGUACAUAAUCUAGCCAGUGAUGAUUUCAGGAGUUCAAUAUUGGGGGCUGUUAAAGGCUGGUCCAGGCUGUGCCUCUUCAAUUUUCAAAGCCCUUCUCUCCUAUCUUGGCGAUUCUCAUGAUUAUGAUUGUCCAUCAUCUGGUCUCAAAUCACCCUUGGCUUCACGGCCAUCUUCAUGCUAUCCUGGAAUUGAUGCUCCCUCAGAAGGAUUGGUUCGAUGGCAGUUAUGGCUAGAGUAUUUUUCUUAUGAAACCUUACAAGGUUUAAGAAUUGCCAAACUUUCUGAGAUUAUAGUGGAUUUACCCGGAUAGGUACUCUGCUAAUCUUUUGCUUUUUUUCUCAUCUAAGGUUGCAGACAUGAAUUAUGAAAUUUAUUUUGCCAGAAAAGAUUUACGAUACUUGUGAUUGUUUCAA
This is a long non-coding RNA of Eucalyptus grandis, 654 nucleotides long. RefSeq lists it as uncharacterized. Lineage: Eukaryota; Viridiplantae; Streptophyta; Magnoliopsida; Myrtales; Myrtaceae. The record is from RefSeq and is a predicted model, not a curated record. The transcript is spliced from 2 exons.